Molecule: transfer RNA, 85 nt
Filed under: Pseudomonadales bacterium
Lineage: Bacteria; Pseudomonadati; Pseudomonadota; Gammaproteobacteria; Pseudomonadales
Also listed under: 6 other names
Description: tRNA-Leu
Rfam family: tRNA
About the family: Transfer RNA (tRNA) molecules are approximately 80 nucleotides in length.
Source: RNAcentral
GCCAGUGUGGUGAAAUUGGUAUACACGACGGAUUCAAAAUCCGUUGCUUCGCGGCGUCCCGGUUCGAGUCCGGGCACUGGUACCA